This 198-nucleotide non-coding RNA is filed under the name Bacillus solimangrovi. RNAcentral's name for it is "6S / SsrS RNA". It matches the Rfam family "6S / SsrS RNA". From Rfam's summary of the family: E. coli 6S RNA was the first non coding RNA to be sequenced, but its function was unknown until recently. It consists of 184 nucleotides that fold into an extended hairpin structure with a large single-stranded internal bulge. The record is from Rfam by way of RNAcentral. Lineage: Bacteria; Bacillati; Bacillota; Bacilli; Caryophanales; Bacillaceae.
CACAAGCUGUUUUGUGCGUAAGCAUAAUAAAGUUUUAACCUUUACGCUAUAAUAGGGAGUUUUACAUCAAAGCUGAAUUGACAUACCUCUGGUUAUAUACCAAAGAGGGCAUGCAUGAAGACUUUUGCGAACACCCACUUUGAGAAGUGGUGGUUUAAAACUUUCUUAUCAAUUACUUACGGCAAAUACGGCUGAAAC